This 270-nucleotide ribosomal RNA is filed under the name uncultured archaeon. RNAcentral describes it as "partial 16S ribosomal RNA". It matches the Rfam family "Archaeal small subunit ribosomal RNA", at positions 477 to 747 of the family's 1478-position model. The record is from RNAcentral.
CUGCAGCUCAAGUGGUGGCCGCUAUUAUUGGGCCUAAAACGUCCGUAGCCGGUUUAGUAAAUGCUUGGGUAAAUUGUGUAGCUUAACUAUACGAAUACCGGGUAGACUGCUAAACUUGGGACCGGGAGAGGCUAGAGGUACUCCUAGGGUAGAGGUGAAAUUCUGUAAUCCUAGGGGGACCACCAGUGGCGAAGGCGUCUAGCUAGAACGGGUCUGACGGUGAGGGACGAAGCCCUGGGGCGCAAACCGGAUUAGAUACCCGAGUAGUCC